UGAACUAAGCAACUGCAUGUUUUCGUAUUGGUUUCGUGUAUUUAUUGAAGAUUUUCAAUGUUUUUGCGUAUUGUUUUGUGUUUAAUAUGUGUCUUUAACUUGUGCCUAAAUUCUGUUUAAUGAAAAAUGCGGCAUGCAUUACAAUUUUAAAAGCAAAGGCAAAAAAAAUUCUUUGUUGGCUGAAGUCGACCGGUGGAUAUUUCUCAGAUACGUCUGAAGUCAAAGCGCAGAUAAAACUAGCAAGUUGGCAGUGCGAUAUUGUUAAAGUUGAACUUGCGCUGUACCAUUUUGAAUCCUAAAUAGGACACUGAUGUAUGGCCGCAUCUGCAUAGAAAAACUGUAUCGCCCAAUGCGAUUUUUUGCUACGGGGAUUUUACAAGAACAAACAGAGGCUGUUGGUCGGAAUCCCAUGUAAUCCGGACCACUUAUCACGCGUGCAAAAUGCAAAUUCGUGUGGGCCGGGCGUACGCAGAAUUAACGAAAACGCUAAACGGACCGAGCGGUACGUCACCGAAAUUGACAAACUUUCGCAAACAUUAUCAAAGGAUAAACAAGGUAAUCUCGGCGCUCGGCGGUCGGUCGGCGUUCGAUGAAGUCGUAUAAACGUCUCGAAGUUUCGCCGCUCGCCAGCUGAGAAAAUAAGGAGUUAAUAAGCUGUAUAGAAGCUGGGCAAAGCGAUUGCGUGAGUGAUAUAAAUACAAAGUAAAUGCUCUUUGAAUAAGUGCACACUUGCGUUCGUGAUAACGAAAUUAAAGGUGGCGUGUGUGCGCGCCGUUAGCGCUUGCACGCUUUUCAAUAUGUCUACACAUUAUUGAUUAGCUUCUGAGAAAAACUUGGCACGCCUAUAACGAGAGCACGCUCAUAGACUUGCUGAAGGCGUAAAGCGCAGUUAUUUAUGUGUCGUACCACACGGUAAUUAUAGAUGUCGUUUGUUUGAUAUAGUAUUGU
This is a long non-coding RNA of Papilio machaon (common yellow swallowtail), 948 nucleotides long. RefSeq lists it as uncharacterized. NCBI's taxonomy places the organism in Eukaryota, Metazoa, Arthropoda, Insecta, Lepidoptera, Papilionidae. The record is from RefSeq and is a predicted model, not a curated record. The transcript has 3 exons.